Molecule: ribosomal RNA, 1243 nt
Filed under: Psychrobacter sp. L7
Lineage: Bacteria; Pseudomonadati; Pseudomonadota; Gammaproteobacteria; Moraxellales; Moraxellaceae
Description: bacterial LSU rRNA
Rfam family: Bacterial large subunit ribosomal RNA
Source: RNAcentral
GAGAACUCUGCUGAAGGAACUAGGCAAAAUGGUACCGUAACUUCGGGAGAAGGUACGCUGCUGAUGGUGAAGGACUUGCUCCGUAAGCUAUUGGCAGUCGCAGAUACCAGGCUGCUGCAACUGUUUAUUAAAAACACAGCACUCUGCAAACACGAAAGUGGACGUAUAGGGUGUGAUGUCUGCCCGGUGCUGGAAGGUUAAUUGAUGGGCUUAGCGUAUGCGAAGGUCUUGAUCGAAGCCCCAGUAAACGGCGGCCGUAACUAUAACGGUCCUAAGGUAGCGAAAUUCCUUGUCGGGUAAGUUCCGACCUGCACGAAUGACAUAAUGAUGGCAGCGCUGUCUCCAGCAGAGACUCAGUGAAAUCGAAAUCGCAGUGAAGAUGCUGUGUACCCGCGGCUAGACGGAAAGACCCCGUGAACCUUUACUACAGCUUUACAUUGAACUUUGACCUGACUUGUGCAGGAUAGGUGGGAGGCUUUGAAACCGAGACGCUAGUCUUGGUGGAGCCAAUCUUGAAAUACCACCCUGGUCAUGUUGGGGUUCUAACUCAGGUAUAACAAUACCGAGGACAAUGUAUGGUGGGUAGUUUGACUGGGGCGGUCUCCUCCUAAAGAGUAACGGAGGAGUACGAAGGUGCGCUCAGAACGGUCGGAAAUCGUUCAUAGAGUAUAAAGGCAAAAGCGCGCUUAACUGCGAGACCCACAAGUCGAGCAGGUACGAAAGUAGGUCUUAGUGAUCCGGUGGUUCUGUAUGGAAGGGCCAUCGCUCAACGGAUAAAAGGUACUCUGGGGAUAACAGGCUGAUACCGCCCAAGAGUUCAUAUCGACGGCGGUGUUUGGCACCUCGAUGUCGGCUCAUCUCAUCCUAGGGCUGAAGCAGGUCCUAAGGGUAUGGCUGUUCGCCAUUUAAAGAGGUACGCGAGCUGGGUUUAGAACGUCGUGAGACAGUUCGGUCCCUAUCUACCGUGGGCGUUGGAAAUUUGAGAGGAUCUGCUCCUAGUACGAGAGGACCAGAGUGGACGAACCGCUGGUGUUCGGGUUGUCAUGCCAAUGGCAUUGCCCGGUAGCUACGUUCGGAUGGGAUAACCGCUGAAAGCAUCUAAGCGGGAAGCCCACCUCAAGAUUAGAUUUCCCUAAAGAGCCGUUCAAGACUAGGACGUUGAUAGGCAGGGUGUGGAAGCGCAGCGAUGUGUGGAGCUAACCUGUACUAAUUGCUCGUUUGGCUUGACCAUACAACACCCAAG